AAGACACUAGUAAAACUAAGUCUAUUACAUUGCCUUGUCAAGGCAAAAUUGUGGGUUAAAACCCCGCGUGUCUUA
Non-coding RNA from Oncorhynchus tshawytscha (Chinook salmon), 75 nucleotides. The record is from Ensembl. NCBI's taxonomy places the organism in Eukaryota, Metazoa, Chordata, Actinopteri, Salmoniformes, Salmonidae.